Molecule: small RNA, 580 nt
Filed under: Pongo abelii (Sumatran orangutan)
Lineage: Eukaryota; Metazoa; Chordata; Mammalia; Primates; Hominidae
Description: retained intron
Source: RNAcentral
GGAGAGAAGACGUGCAGGGACCCCGCGCACAGGAGCUGCCCUCGCGACAUGGGUCACCCGUUGCUGCUGCCGCUGCUGCUGCUGCUCCACACCUGCGUCCCAGACUCUUGGGGCCUGCGGUGCAUGCAGUGUAAGAGCAACGGGGAUUGCCGUGUGGAAGAGUGCGCCCUGGGACAGGACCUCUGCAGGACCACGUUCGUACGCAUGUGGGAAGGUGAGCUUCCCCCCAACACACACACCCCUCCAGCACAGCAUGGAGCGCGAGUGAUUGAGAAAUCUUCCUCACCAUUAACUGGGACAUGCAAACUAAAAACAAACAAACAAGGAGAGCCCGUUUCACACCCACCAGAUUGGCAAGCAUUUAAAAAUCUGACAAUACCCGGGUUAGUAAGGAUGUGGAGUUGCAGACCGUGUCUGUGGUGGGGGAAUAAAUUGGCACAUCAACCUCCUAGAGCGAUUCGGCAAUAUCUAGUCCAGAUGAAGAUUAGCAUAUGCUACAGCUGAACUCCUCGCCAUGCAGAAAUGCCAAAGAAACUUGGCCACAUAUACCCAGGGACACAUGUAUAAGAAUGUUCUUAUC